RNAcentral lists this ribosomal RNA (599 nucleotides) under uncultured bacterium. RNAcentral describes it as "bacterial SSU rRNA". It matches the Rfam family "Bacterial small subunit ribosomal RNA", at positions 33 to 665 of the family's 1533-position model. The record is from RNAcentral.
ACGCUGGCGGUAUGCCUAAGACAUGCAAGUCGCACGGACUGUUUCGGCAGUUAGUGGCGGACGGGUGAGUAACACGUAGGUGACCUACCCCAAAGUCUGGGACAACUAGGAGAAAUCUUAGCUAAUCCUGGAUGUGAACCUCAGCCGUGGCUGAUGUUUAAAGCUUCGGCGCUUUGGGAUGGGCCUGCGGCGCAUCAGGUAGUUGGUGGGGUAACGGCCCACCAAGCCGACGACGCGUAGCUGGUCUGAGAGGACGACCAGCCACAGGGGUACUGAGACACGGACCCCACUCCUACGGGAGGCAGCAGUUAGGAAUCUUCCGCAAUGGGCGAAAGCCUGACGGAGCGAUACCGCUUGAAGGACGAAGCCCUUCGGGGUGUAAACUUCUGAACUCGGGACGAUAAUGACGGUACCGAGGUAAUAGCACCGGCUAACUCCGUGCCAGCAGCCGCGGUAAUACGGAGGGUGCGAGCGUUACCCGGAUUUACUGGGUGUAAAGGGCGUGUAGGCGGUCUCUCAAGUCCGAUGCUAAAGACCGAAGCUCAACUUCGGGGGUGCGUUGGAUACUGUGAGGCUAGACGGUCGGAGAGGGUAGCGGA